GUAGUGUGUUGGAGCCAGCUCGGACUAGCUUAGAAGAGUCAACUGUGCACGAUGCUUUUCAACUCUGUCUUCAGGGACUUCAGGAGCACUGCUUAAAACCGGCCUUGGUGAGGAGGGAUUUAUUUCAUUUGCUCCUGAAGUUAAAUCUCAUGAAAUCAUGUGAAAUUCAGUGAUGUGUUACUGGGAACAAAAAGGGUUACGUUAUUAAUUGUGAUGCCUUCCCACAAGAGCUGUGUCUGUACUGUGCCACAUAACCCCUGAAGCUGAAUAAAGAACUUUCUCCUUGAUUCCCCCAGCCCUCCAAAAACAUCAGGUGAUGAGGUCCCAUUGUAAAUGACCCAAGGACAAACAGCUCAUGACUUCAAAGGAGGCCUCUUCAACCCAGGGCAAAUUCAGGCCUUCAUUCCAGGGGUCUGUAAGCAAGUACUGAGUGAAGAGAUAUCCUAAAAUCAAUCGUUCCUCUUUGCCAACCCUGGAUAAUGGCAACAACUUCUUUAGUGGCAUGCUGCAUGCUCUGUUUGGUCAUGUCCAGAGAUACCCAAGAUAAAGAAGUUUGAUAAAUAUACACAUUAACUCAGCAAAAAUAACAUGGUUAUUUUCAUGAAUAUUGCACUUGGGCACAUCAGCAAAAUUCAAAAGUGAUAAAAGGUGAGCAUUGUAUAUGAAUUUUGCAUAUGUACAUGGUAAUAUUUUGACACUAGGAACAAUAUUUUAAGUUGAAAUGUCUAUAUUUUAAUUUAGUAAAGAUUUGGCAAGCCCCUGCUAUAUUAGCAAUAUCAAGAUAAUGAGAUAAAGAUCCCACUCUCAAUAAAAAUAUAAAAUUAUACAUGUUUCUUGUGCCCAUCAUCAGCCAUCGUUAUGAACAUCACUCUGAACUGUUAUGCACAAUAAGAUAACUAGAGGGUUAAAAAUGAAGGUUUUACUGCUCACGUUGAAUAUUAUUUUUAGAAAAGAAAGUCAUUUCUAUUAUAGAGGAGGCAUUGUGGUCUACUAUAAUGGCAAGCAUAUUAAAAACAAUGCAUUCCUGGUGAAAUAAUGCUUAGAGCAUAGUCAACAAAAUAAGCAGGCUGCUGAAAAAAGUUUAAAUGUCAUAUUUCAUUAAUUCUAAGACACAUUUCCUCCUGCUUUUAGAUCUCUCAAAUUGAAAGGCAUCUUACAACCUAUAGAUGAAAUCUAGUAAAUAGAAUAAGAUAAAAAGUAUCUUAGUUUCUUUCCUUGGGUUGUUUGCCUUUCUUUUAAGGGAAGGUUUGUUUGACUGUUGUGUUUUGUUUUUAACAGCUUGUUUAUGAAUCUUCCCUUUUCUAGCGUUAAUGAUUGUGUGAGCCUAGAAUUUAAAUGGUACAAAACUCUGAUUUUUGUUUUUAUUCUUUGUUCUGACCAUUACUGAGGGGAGUACAGGACACUGAAGCAGAAACAAGGUCUGAAAGUGGCAAUGUGGACCUUGCUCCUCUGUGGAGGACUCUGGUACCUGUCUGUGUCUGAAUCUUGCCACUUCCACUUAUCUAGCUUUGCGAUCUGGAAAAGAUUAACUUUAGCCUCUCUGUGCCUCAGUUUCUUCAAGUGCUGAAUAAUGGUAUCUACCUCAUAGUGCUGCUAUGAGGGUUGAGUUUAAUAUAAGUAAGGCCUUAGAAUAAUGCCUGGCACAUACUAAAUAUUCUCUCAACUUUAGCUGUUACCAUUGUGCCUCACUUCC
RNAcentral lists this long non-coding RNA (1693 nucleotides) under Homo sapiens (human). RNAcentral's name for it is "HSALNT0046707". Lineage: Eukaryota; Metazoa; Chordata; Mammalia; Primates; Hominidae. The record is from RNAcentral.